UUCUUUUUCCUUUCAUUGCCCACGUAUUCGUUCGGAAGAUUAAUCCACAAUGAUUUCAAACAAUA
Molecule: transfer RNA, 65 nt
Filed under: Asterionellopsis glacialis
Lineage: Eukaryota; Bacillariophyta; Plagiogrammaphyceae; Rhaphoneidales; Asterionellopsidaceae
Source: RNAcentral